GACGGGUAGCCGGCCUGAGAGGGCGACCGGCCACACUGGGACUGAGACACGGCCCAGACUCCUACGGGAGGCAGCAGUGGGGAAUAUUGCACAAUGGGCGAAAGCCUGAUGCAGCGACGCCGCGUGAGGGAUGACGGCCUUCGGGUUGUAAACCUCUUUCAGCAGGGAAGAAGCGAAAGUGACGGUACCUGCAGAAGAAGCGCCGGCUAACUACGUGCCAGCAGCCGCGGUAAUACGUAGGGCGCAAGCGUUGUCCGGAAUUAUUGGGCGUAAAGAGCUCGUAGGCGGCUUGUCACGUCGGUUGUGAAAGCCCGGGGCUUAACCCCGGGUCUGCAGUCGAUACGGGCAGGCUAGAGUUCGGUAGGGGAGAUCGGAAUUCCUGGUGUAGCGGUGAAAUGCGCAGAUAUCAGGAGGAACACCGGUGGCGAAGGCGGAUCUCUGGGCCGAUACUGACGCUGAGGAGCGAAAGCGUGGGGAGCGAACAGGAUUAGAUACCCUGGUAGUCCACGCCGUAAACGGUGGGCACUAGGUGUGGGCAACAUUCCACGUUGUCCGUGCCGCAGCUAACGCAUUAAGU
RNAcentral lists this ribosomal RNA (577 nucleotides) under Micromonospora sp. UL030. RNAcentral's name for it is "bacterial SSU rRNA". It matches the Rfam family "Bacterial small subunit ribosomal RNA", at positions 278 to 865 of the family's 1533-position model. The record is from RNAcentral. Lineage: Bacteria; Bacillati; Actinomycetota; Actinomycetes; Micromonosporales; Micromonosporaceae.